Molecule: ribosomal RNA, 433 nt
Filed under: uncultured Clostridium sp.
Lineage: Bacteria; Bacillati; Bacillota; Clostridia; Eubacteriales; Clostridiaceae
Description: partial 16S ribosomal RNA
Rfam family: Bacterial small subunit ribosomal RNA
Source: RNAcentral
ACGGAAGGCAGCAGUGGGGAAUAUUGGACAAUGGGGGAAACCCUGAUCCAGCGACGCCGCGUGAGUGAAGAAGUAUUUCGGUAUGUAAAGCUCUAUCAGCGGGGAAGAAAAUGACGGUACCUGACUAAGAAGCCCCGGCUAACUACGUGCCAGCAGCGCGGUAAUACGUAGGGGGCAAGCGUUAUCCGGAUUUACUGGGUGUAAAGGGAGCGUAGACGGCGAAGCAAGUCUGAAGUGAAAGCCCACGGCUCAACCGUGGAACUGCUUUGGAAACUGUUUUGCUAGAGUGCAGGAGGGGCAGGCGGAAUUCCUAGUGUAGCGGUGAAAUGCGUAGAUAUUAGGAGGAACACCGGUGGCGAAGGCGGCCUGCUGGACUGUAACUGACGUUGAGGCUCGAAAGCGUGGGGAGCAAACAGGAUUAGAUACCCUGGUA